Molecule: ribosomal RNA, 254 nt
Filed under: uncultured Amoebophrya
Lineage: Eukaryota; Dinophyceae; Syndiniales
Description: partial Bacterial large subunit ribosomal RNA
Rfam family: Bacterial large subunit ribosomal RNA
Source: RNAcentral
GCUAAUCUGAGCAGGGUAAGCCGGCCCCUAAGCCGAGGCCGAAAGGCGUAGGCGAUGGGAACCACGUUAAUAUUCGUGGGCCAGAUGGAAGUGACGGAUCUCGAAGAUUGUUCCUCCUUAUCGGAUUGGAGGGGCCGUUCAGAGGUUCCUGGAAAUAGCUCCAUCAUCAGACCGUACCCUAAACCGACACAGGUGGACUGGUAGAGAAUACCAAGGCGCUUGAGAGAACUCGGGUGAAGGAACUAGGCAAAAUG